CUCUGAUGUACCACAUUUACUACAAGUGACUUUACUCCUCUUGAAUUUCCCUUCGUUGAGUCCCUUCUUACGAUCAUUAGUCGGUGGUUUGGCUGGUUAUUUUUUUGUAAUUGAUGGUAUCAUUAUCACUUUCAAAAUAUGUGCUGGAAUAUUUGAUGUUCGCAUCAUAUAUCACUCUUUCAAUAUCGUAAUCAACGUAUCUACCUGUAUUACAAAUAGAAUGGUGAUUUCAAUGUAUCCAAACUUUUUGUAUUCAGAUUGUUUUUGUUUACAUGAAAAUAUUAUCUCAAAUAUGUUGUUUAUGAAUAACUAAAAAAUUAACAAUUACUUCAAUAUAUAUAUAUAUAUAUAUAUAUAUAAAUAAAUACAUCAACUACACUAUCAAAAUAUACCAAAAACUAAAAGAAUGUUGGUGGUAUUAAAAACCUAAUAUAAAAGUUUGAUAUACCAUAUACUUCAAUAUAUAUAUACCAUAAAUAUAUUACACCAAACUCGCACAUUUACACCAUAUACCAUAUACUUCAAUAACAAGUUGAUAAAAUUUACACCAACUAAAUAUAAACCAAAAAAUAUAAAAGAAUGUCGACGUCCCUUUAAAUCAUAAUAUACCAUAUUAUGUCAAAUAAAAUAUUAAUUUCUCCUACUAAUAUACCAAAAUUUAUUCACUUUUUAUGACUUAUGUUGUUUAUGAAAACAUAAUAAGCAAUACCAAUUACACCAAAUCAUCUUCACCUUUCACACUAUCAAUUACACAUAUUAAUCUACCAAUAUUUCUGUAUAAACUGUAUUGUUUAUACACCAACUUAAAAACAUCAUUAUUUUCAGCAACUAAUUUACUAAAACAGAUUCACGAAAUACGAAUUCUAUAAUAAACCACAAAAUCCUACAAAUUAAAUCAAACAAUAAUUACCAAAAAAAUAUCACGAAAUUGGUGAAUACAAACAACGUAAAUUACACGAUCAAUUACACCACUCAAUAUAGACAAAUUCAAUCUACAAAAGUGAUUUUUAAACGUCCUUAAUUCAGAUUGUAACACAAAAAACAUGUAAUCACUAAAAUAAUCACUUAAAAAACACCCAAAUCAAUCGCGAUUUAUCUAAAAUACCUGAUGCGUCUCAUCGUCCGUUGUGUUGAAUUAGGAUUGAAAAUUUGUUAGUAUCCGUGAAUAAACAGUUGACCAGAACGUGUAGAAAGAGAGUUUUAUUUUUGUUAAAAAACCUUUUUUUUAAUGGGAGAGAAUAUAUAACUGAUUUGAGUAAAUCGUGGAAGGUAAAAGAAUUGGAGGAAAUCAGGGAAUCUUAAUAAAUCGUGGCUUGACUUUUUCUGUCUUAUUUUUUUAUAUUAAAUCCUAUUUUUGAAAAAAAACUAUUGUCAUAUAGACGAAAAAAAAACUAUUGCUAUAUAGUAGUAAUUAAGGUACUUAAUUUGUAUACUUAAGUUUUUUACCCUUUUAUAUUCAAUCAAACACAACACAAUCAUCCGGGGUGAACAAGAAUUGGGGAUCGGAUGUGGGCGAAAUUUCCGCCAAUGGCUGAGAUGUUCAGUCGACUCCCUCUCCCUUUGUGGGGGUCCCGACCCCUACGAGUGAGCAGAAAAGGGAGGAGAAAAGAGGCCCUGGUAAACCGUCAUAAUUAGUGAACAAGUGUAAGCUUCGCUGCCCACAACAAGACAAGAAGGUUGGUCAUAGUGAAGUGACAUGGCAUUCGUAUGGGCACGUGUACUUGUCCAGGAUAAGUAUUAAGAGAAUUUAAUAGUAUUUUCUCUGUUGUAUUUAUUUUGGCAUUUUGUUAGUUCUUUUAAAAUAAAAAAAAUGGAGUUUUAUAUUAUUUUUCUGAUAAAUAGGAAAAUUUUAUAAUCACACAAUACGAUAGCAUGAGUUAUGGACUUCAAAUGUCCUAUAAUCAUAUAAAUAUUAAGAUUAAACUUAUAGUCCAACUAUGGCAAACAUGUGAAAUGGAAAGUAGUAUAUGUUAAAACAAAAUUAUUUCAAUAGUGCAACUUUUUGAAAAUAUGAACUUAAAUAGAAGGGUAUAGAGAUCAAGAAUUAAGGUAGAACGUUAGUAGGUAAUUGAAUAUUAUCUAGUUUUAUUUGUCAUUAUUGUUAUAAUUAUUGUUCUCAUAUCAUCUUAUUAUUUAGUUGUAUAAUUACUUAUUAUUUUCUUUGUUUCAAUUAUCGUAUUAUUUGUUGUUGUUAUUGCUCUCUUAUUUUAUUUUUAGCAUGACUUCUUUAACAGUAUAUAUACCCAGUGUAAUUCCAUACAAGUAAGAUUUUGAGAAACAAUAAUGUUGGCAGACCUUACCUCUACCUCAUAGAGAUAGAGAGGUUGUAUAUGAUAAACCCUCUUGGCUCAAAAUAAAACAUUUCCGGACAAUUUGGAAAAAAAGAAUACAUAAAUGAGGACAGUUAUAACAACAAAAUAAUGCGAUAAUUAAAAUUUUAGCAUGACUUCUUGACUAAUAUAUUUCCUUUCAUUAUUUGAUAUUGAUAGGGUUUAUGGUUUACCUAAGCUGAAGAUUUAUCUAAAACAGUUAUCUACCUUCACAAGAUAAGAAUAAAAUUUCGUAGACACCACUAUUUUUGUAUCCUAUUUGUAAUUUAUAGUGUUACAACUGGAUAUGUCAUUGUCGUUGUGUUUUGAUUCUCUAGAUCUAAACAAGCGGUAAAAUGACAUAAAUAAGAAGACAAACAGGAAAAAGUACUUUAAUUAUUCAUUGAAAAGAUUAUAUAUGUACAUGAACCAGAAAAUAAUAAUUGCCGUUCCAGAAACUCAAAUUGAGACAAAAUAAGAACUAUUGAUGAAAAAAUGUCAAUUACAAUAUAAAGUUUAUUAGGAUUUUGUCUCAUAUAUUAUUUACACAGGAACCCAAAUUAAUAUGAAUAUGAGUAUCACAUGGUCUUGAUUAAAUUCAGACUUCACUGGUAGAAAUACACUUAAUAAACUAUCAAGAAUAUUAAGGACAAUUCGGUGCAUUAAGCUCUAGUUAUGUGUGGGAGAAAAUUUUGAUUAAUUAAAUUGAAUAUAUUGUAUACAAUUUUAAUUAACAUUAUAUUUUUGCAAGAGAUUGUUUUCAUGACUAUCAAUUGAAUGUUUGUUUUGAGGCGAAUAUAGUAUUUUGGUACAGUAUCAUCUGAACCUAUUACUUUUGGUACGAUAUAUAAAUUUAUAUGUAGAAAUUUACUAAAAGUACAAUUAAUAACAGAUAUGAACCUAUAACUAUAAUAAUAUAAUGAAAACAAUGUUGAUACUCUUUAAUAUAUUAUUGAAUCAACAAAAUUAUAAAUCUUGAAUCUACCUCUGUUCCAAGUAACAUUUGUUAUUGCCACUAGAGGCGUUUUUUGUUGUGUUAUGUAUAUAGGCCUUGACUAACAAACUUCAUGUUGUCUUUGGGCCAUGAACAAAAUUUUCUUGAGUGAAAUAUUAUGUGAAAUAGUGGUGAUGAACGUUCCACGUGUGCGCCUACGUCAUAAUUGACGUUAUAGAUGAAGGUCCGAGGUUGAGGUUAGCUAAAACAACAUCAUCCUCGUACCUUCAUCGUCGUACUAACUCUAACUUUCUUGCUCAAAUGAAUGUUCCAAAUGAUUUACCAAAUUGUAACCUGAAAAAAACAAUAAACAAAAAAAACAAAAAAAGGUGAGAUUUAAAUUCUAUAUUUUCUAAACUAAACGUACUAACAUGAGGAAAACAUAUUUCUAAUAUCACCUAUAUAUUUUACUUUUAUUGUGUGUUAUCUUUUUUUCAAUAUGUUUGCAUGAAUUUCAAAACUUACAAAUUAUAAGUAUAUAAGCUUAAUAGUUUAGAGGAUUUGUCUAGAUAUCAUUUGCCCUAACUAACAAGCUAGACAUUAAAAAUAAGAAGAUGAAAAGAAAUAACAAUAACACUACAAGAAGAAGUCUAGAAUCUAGAGGCAGAUUCAGAAUAUCUAGUUUAUCAAUUUUUGGUGAUAAUAAUUUUUCUAUGUAUACAUAGUAGAUGAAAUUUUUAUCAUAAACACAUAGUUUGUGCGAUAAAUAUUGAUUCUUGCUAAACCCAUAACUAUAAUAGUGGAUCUGCCCCUACUACAAACAAAGGUUAAUUAGGUUACAAAUUUGAACUUUUGAGGCAACACGAGGGUUAAUUUCACGUAUAGUCACUAACUUCUUACUCAUCAUAACACUAAAAUCACAAUAAAGCUUUUUUUUCGCAUCAAACUAAAUGAAUUUUAGUCGUCAUAACAACAGUAAAGUCAUAAAACUAUUUAAACUAUUUUUUUUAAUCACAAGUAGCUAGUGUGAUUUUAAUUAUCUACAUGAAUCUAACGUUUUGUAUAGUUAGAAACAAUACCAGAAAACUUCGAUAGGGUUCUUUCCUUCUUUUUCUUCUUACUCCAUCUGAUUUAUUGGCACUCAAAAAAAGAGACACAAUAUGAUUAUUGAGAAGAGGCAUAAUGGAAUAUAUCUCUCGGAAUUAGCUACGAACUUCGUCGUUAAAUUGCUGGUAACUAUAUAAAAAUAUUGAUAAUUGUUGCUAAUCCGUCACUAAAUAGGAUUAGUAACGAAUUAUGUUGUUUAGCUACAAAAUUGUAUGUCGCUAAUUUAUAUUUUUAUUUUUGUAGUGUAUAAGAUGAG
Molecule: long non-coding RNA, 4606 nt
Filed under: Solanum tuberosum (potato)
Lineage: Eukaryota; Viridiplantae; Streptophyta; Magnoliopsida; Solanales; Solanaceae
Description: long non-coding RNA (STUB_LNC005336)
Source: RNAcentral